UACGUAGGUGGCAAGCGUUACUCGGAAUCACUAGGCGUAAAGCGCAGGUAGGCGGUUUGAUAAGUCUGUUGUGAAAGCUCCCGGCUUAACUGGGAGAGGUCAACGAAAAACUAUCAGGCUAGAGUGUGGUAGAGGUAGCUGGAAUUCCCGGUGUAGCGGUGAAAUGCGUAGAUAUCGGGAGGAAUACCUAUGGCGAAAGCAGGCUACUGGACCAUCACUGACGCUGAUCUGCGAAAGCUAGGGGAGCAAACAG
RNAcentral lists this ribosomal RNA (253 nucleotides) under uncultured bacterium. RNAcentral's name for it is "partial 16S ribosomal RNA". It matches the Rfam family "Bacterial small subunit ribosomal RNA", at positions 524 to 775 of the family's 1533-position model. The record is from RNAcentral.